Molecule: small nucleolar RNA, 94 nt
Organism: Pteronotus mesoamericanus
Lineage: Eukaryota; Metazoa; Chordata; Mammalia; Chiroptera; Mormoopidae
Product: small nucleolar RNA SNORD116
Exons: 1
Source: RefSeq, a predicted model, not a curated record
GGAUCAGUGAUGACCCCUUCAAAAAUGCAUUCUUUGGAAGCUGAACAAAAUGAGCGAGAACUCCAUACCGUCGUUCUCAUCAGAUCUGAGGUCC